CCUACGGGUGGCUGCAGUGAGGAAUAUUGGUCAAUGGGCGCGAGCCUGAACCAGCCAAGUAGCGUGAAGGAUGACUGCCCUACGGGUUGUAAACUUCUUUUAUAAAGGAAUAAAGUGAGGCACGUGUGCCUUUUUGUAUGUACUUUAUGAAUAAGGAUCGGCUAACUCCGUGCCAGCAGCCGCGGUAAUACGGAGGAUCCGAGCGUUAUCCGGAUUUAUUGGGUUUAAAGGGAGCGUAGAUGGGUUGUUAAGUCAGUUGUGAAAGUUUGCGGCUCAACCGUAAAAUUGCAAUUGAUACUGGUAGGCUAGAGUACAGGUGAGGUAGGCGGAAUUCGUGGUGUAGCGGUGAAAUGCUUAGAUAUCACGAAGAACUCCGAUUGCGAAGGCAGCUUACUAAACUGCCACUGACAUUGAUGCUCGAAAGUGUGGGUAGCAAACAGGAUUAGAUACCCCUGUAGUC
RNAcentral lists this ribosomal RNA (460 nucleotides) under uncultured bacterium. RNAcentral describes it as "partial 16S ribosomal RNA". It matches the Rfam family "Bacterial small subunit ribosomal RNA", at positions 338 to 795 of the family's 1533-position model. The record is from RNAcentral.